Molecule: ribosomal RNA, 380 nt
Filed under: uncultured eukaryote
Lineage: Eukaryota
Description: SSU rRNA
Rfam family: Eukaryotic small subunit ribosomal RNA
Source: RNAcentral
AGCUCCAAUAGCGUAUAUUAAAGUUGUUGCGGUAAAAAGCUCGUAGUUGGAUUUCUGUGGAGCACGACCGGUCGGUACUACGUACACGUAUCUGGUAUGAGCUCUGCAUCCUCUUGGGGAACGUUCCUGUGCUUCACUGCAUGGGACGGUAUUCAAGACUUUUACUUUGAGGAAAUUAGAGUGUUCACGGCAGGCAAGCGCCCUGAAUACAUUAGCAUGGAAUAAUAAUAUAGGAUUUAAGCCCUAUUUUGUUGGUUUCUAGAGCUUAAAUAAUGAUUAAUAGGGACAAUUGGGGGCAUUCGUAUUAUCACGUCAGAGGUGGAAUUCUUGGAUUGUGUUACGACGAACUACUGCGAAAGCAUUUGCCAUGGAUGUUUUCA